GACGAACGCUGGCGGCGUGCUUAACACAUGCAAGUCGAACGGAAAGGCCCUGCUUUUGUGGGGUGCUCGAGUGGCGAACGGGUGAGUAACACGUGAGUAACGUGCCCUUGACUUUGGGAUAACUUCAGGAAACUGGGGCUAAUACCGGAUAGGAGCUCCUGCUGCAUGGUGGGGGUUGGAAAGUUUCGGCGGUUGGGGAUGGACUCGCGGCUUAUCAGCUUGUUGGUGGGGUAGUGGCUUACCAAGGCUUUGACGGGUAGCCGGCCUGAGAGGGUGACCGGCCACAUUGGGACUGAGAUACGGCCCAGACUCCUACGGGAGGCAGCAGUGGGGAAUAUUGCACAAUGGGCGGAAGCCUGAUGCAGCAACGCCGCGUGCGGGAUGACGGCCUUCGGGUUGUAAACCGCUUUCGCCUGUGACGAAGCGUAAGUGACGGUAAUGGGUAAAGAAGCACCGGCUAACUACGUG
Molecule: ribosomal RNA, 468 nt
Filed under: uncultured bacterium
Lineage: Bacteria
Description: partial 16S ribosomal RNA
Rfam family: Bacterial small subunit ribosomal RNA
Source: RNAcentral